This is a long non-coding RNA of Rhinichthys klamathensis goyatoka, 331 nucleotides long. RefSeq lists it as uncharacterized. Lineage: Eukaryota; Metazoa; Chordata; Actinopteri; Cypriniformes; Leuciscidae. The transcript has 4 exons. The record is from RefSeq and is a predicted model, not a curated record.
GAAAGAUGGAAGCCCUGACUCUCCUUCUCUGUCUGCUUCUAACUGCCUAUCAAGCAAAUACCAUUGGGUCAUGGACAACAGAUGACUGGCUGUAUUCCACUGAAGGGUCUCCAGGACCAUGUGGUGGCUCUAUGACGGAUUGGAUGGGUGAAUUUUUCAGCCCCCGUUACCCUAAUAACUACCCUGAUAACGCACGAUGCACAUGGACCAUUCAUAACACAGGGGCGACAACUGUGCUAUUGACCUUUACCGAUGUUUUGUAGGAAGCAUUCAUUAUCUACCAUUAUCUCUAUCCGUUUUGUCGCUUGAUUUAAUUUCUUAAUUUAUGAGA